GACAGAGGAUGCAAGCGUUAUCCGGAAUGAUUGGGCGUAAAGCGUCUGUAGGUGGCUUUUCAAGUCCGCCGUCAAAUCCCAGGGCUCAACCCUGGACAGGCGGUGGAAACUACCAAGCUGGAGUACGGUAGGGGCAGAGGGAAUUUCCGGUGGAGCGGUGAAAUGCGUAGAGAUCGGGAGGAACACCAGAGGCGAAGGCGGCGACCUGGACAAUUACUGACACUCAACUACGAAAGCGUGGGGAGCAAACAGG
Molecule: ribosomal RNA, 253 nt
Filed under: uncultured bacterium
Lineage: Bacteria
Description: partial 16S ribosomal RNA
Rfam family: Bacterial small subunit ribosomal RNA
Source: RNAcentral